AAAGUGCGAUAAGCGUCACGACUUGCAGAUUCCCGAGAGCUGACAAGUCUCUGAAUGCAAAUAGCGGCCGAUUUCAAGUCGGUCAUGUGCUGCAGAGUGUUGUUGCAAUGGCUAAUCAUCAAACGCAUCUCCGUUCGAUUGAGGCGUUCAUCGCCUCUCUGCGGCAGAUUGACGCGUUGGAUUUGUCAAUAGCAAAGAAGAUCAAAGCGUGGUCUUCCAUGCUAAUGAUGAAAUCUCCGCGCAAGAUCCAGUGCGGCCCAGACUCUACUGGACCAACGCAUUCAAGUUUCUUGCUGCGGCUCGUCUCUACCCCUCAACCUCUGCAGUGCAGGAGAACCCGCUGAACUUAA
RNAcentral lists this unclassified non-coding RNA (350 nucleotides) under uncultured fungus. Its description in RNAcentral is "sequence contains ITS1". The stretch from base 1 to 102 matches the Rfam family "5.8S ribosomal RNA", at positions 50 to 154 of the family's 154-position model. The record is from RNAcentral. Lineage: Eukaryota; Fungi.